This is a long non-coding RNA of Brassica oleracea var. oleracea, 673 nucleotides long. RefSeq lists it as uncharacterized. The transcript is spliced from 2 exons. The record is from RefSeq and is a predicted model, not a curated record. Lineage: Eukaryota; Viridiplantae; Streptophyta; Magnoliopsida; Brassicales; Brassicaceae.
UGAGGCCGAGACGAGAGAGAGCUUGGCUUAGCUCCUCGAGGGUUAUGAAACCGUAGCCGUUGUGAUCAAUUGAUAUAGCUCUGAGAAAUUAGACAAAGUUUUGACAUUUUUUUGUUUAUAAACCAGUCAAGGCAUUCUUGCUUGCCUUGAUGGGUAUAUGAACAUAGCAAUGGAGCAGACAGAGGAGUAUGUCAACGGCAAGCUCAAGAACAAAUACGGUGAUGCCUUGGCGCUUAGAGAUGAGUACUUUGCUGUUGAUGAUGAUGUGGAGCAGACAGAGGAGUACUUUGGAGCAGACAGUUGGAACAACAAUUGCAGGAGUGUAUAUUCUAGUGGGAACAGUAGCUAGACAACACACAGGACCUGCUCUUGCUGUAUCGUUCUUCAUCGCUGGAGUAGCAGCUGCUCUCUCCGCUUGUUGCUAUGCUGAGCUUGCUUCUUGUUGUCCAUCUGCUGGCAGUGCUUAUCAUUAUGCUUACAUCCUCUUGGAGAAGGGUAUGUACUAGAUAGGAUUCUAUUGUCAAGCAUUUUACUGAAACGAUGUUUAAGCUUCUUGUGGACUUAGCAUCACGUAAGCUUCUUGUGCCUUUCAUGCAUUCUUGUCAUGAUCACAGUUACACAUACUCGAUGAUUGUUGAUCUGGAAAUCUUAUUAACUCUCUGUUUCUUGUUCA